This 23-nucleotide non-coding RNA is filed under the name Mus musculus (house mouse). Lineage: Eukaryota; Metazoa; Chordata; Mammalia; Rodentia; Muridae. RNAcentral also lists the same sequence under 1 other name. The record is from RNAcentral.
GCACAUUACACGGUCGACCUCUU